AUGAUACUUUCUUAUUCUGGUUGUGGUCAAUGCAAAUUAGCAUGGUCACAAAAGCGAUUAAAUGCUUCUUUUCUACCAGGCACCUAUGUGGUCUUUCUUGUCCUUAAUAUUGUUGAAGGACUUGGAGUAAUUUUGGUGUUCAAACCUUUCUUGGGUGAAAAGGAGGAAAAAUCAAUGGAACAUUUACAAUGA
Vicia faba (fava bean) is the source of this 192-nucleotide non-coding RNA. The record is from the annotation of a GenBank genome assembly. Lineage: Eukaryota; Viridiplantae; Streptophyta; Magnoliopsida; Fabales; Fabaceae.